UGUUAAAAAUUUUAUUCAUUUCUACUGUUAAAAUUGGAAUGGCUAACAAAAAUAAUCAAACAGUGACAUAUGAUAUGUCACAUGUACAUCAUGAUUUAUAAGAAUAAAUUUUUAAAAGUAAAAAUAAAUGAAAAUUUUAACA
Molecule: non-coding RNA, 142 nt
Organism: Gossypium hirsutum (cotton)
Lineage: Eukaryota; Viridiplantae; Streptophyta; Magnoliopsida; Malvales; Malvaceae
Source: Rfam